This 1123-nucleotide ribosomal RNA is filed under the name Ascomycota sp. genotype 782 JMUR-2016. RNAcentral's name for it is "eukaryotic LSU rRNA". Lineage: Eukaryota; Fungi; Ascomycota. The record is from RNAcentral.
UUACUGAGGUAUGCUCGGUGCCGCGUAAGCGCGCCGGUUGCCCGCCCAUAUGUCAUCUUUGCUGGACCCGCCCUGCCUUUGGGCAAGGGAGGGGACAGGAACRUCACUUCGGUCGAGGUGUUGUGCCUCUUCGUUUCAUUAUGAGGCUGGCAUGACCGCGGCCGGUUAUAUUUUACACUCUUGUGAGAGCAUGAAGUCUGAAGCAAACGAAAAUUUAAGCAAAACUUUCAACAACGGAUCUCUUGGCUCUGGCAACGAUGAAGAACGCAGCGAAACGCGAAAGGUAAUGCGAAUUGCAGAAUCAGUGAGUCAUCGAAUCUUUGAACGCACAUUGCGCCUCUCGGUAUUCCGGGAGGCACGCCUGUUCGAGCGCCAUUACACACUCCAAGCGUAGCUUGAUGUUGGACGAUGCGGGUCUCCUAGAGGACCGCACGUCUGGAACGCGUGGGCGCCCAUCGCCGGAUCACAAGCGUAGCAAGACGUUUCGUCAAUUUCGUUCUGUGAGCUCCGACGGGGGGCGGCCUCAUACUUUUUCUGUAUCAGAAGUUUGGCCUCGGAUCAGGCGGGGAUACCCGCUGAACUUAAGCAUAUCAAUAAGCGGAGGAAAAGAAACCAACAGGGAUUGCCCCAGUAACGGCGAGUGAAGCGGCAACAGCUCAAAUUUGAAAUCUGGCGCUUUAAGUGUCCGAGUUGUAAUUUGUAGAGGGUGCCUCGGGUUGAGGGUCGGUCCAAGUUCCUUGGAACAGGAUACCGAAGAGGGUGAGAGUCCCGUCUCCGGCCGACGCCAACGCCUAUGUGAGGCCCCUUCGACGAGUCGAGUUGUUUGGGAAUGCAGCUCUAAAUGGGUGGUAAAUUCCAUCUAAAGCUAAAUACUGGCCAGAGACCGAUAGCGAACAAGUAGAGUGAUCGAAAGAUGAAAAGCACUUUGAAAAGAGAGUCAAACAGUACGUGAAAUUGUUGAAAGGGAAGCGUAUACGGCCAGACUUGGCUGCGAGGGCUCCGCCCGUCUUCUGGCGGGUGUACUCCCUCGUGGACAGGCCAGCAUCGGUUUCUGGGGUCGGACAAAGGCGCUGGGAAUGUAGCUCCCCUCGGGGAGUGUUAUAGCCCGGCGUGCAAUGCGACC